GCCGGGUGCAGUGGCAUGUGCCUGUAAUCCAAGUCACUGGGAGGCUGAGGUUGGUGGAUCAAGUGAGCUGAGGAGCUCUGGGCUGCAGCACGCUAUGUCGAACGGGUGUCCACGCUAAGUUCGGUAUCGAUAUGGUGUUCCUGGGGGAGCCUGGGACCACCAGGUUGUCUAAGGAGGGGUGAACCGGCCCAGGUCAGAAACGAAGCAGGUCAAAUCCCCCGUGCUGUCCAGUAGUGGGAUAAUACCUGUGAGUAGAUGCUGCAGUGCAGCCUUGGCAAAACAUCGAGACCUAAUCUUUU
Molecule: signal recognition particle RNA, 299 nt
Filed under: Oncorhynchus mykiss (rainbow trout)
Lineage: Eukaryota; Metazoa; Chordata; Actinopteri; Salmoniformes; Salmonidae
Description: Metazoan signal recognition particle RNA (ENSOMYG00000064878.1)
Rfam family: Metazoan signal recognition particle RNA
About the family: The signal recognition particle (SRP) is a universally conserved ribonucleoprotein. It is involved in the co-translational targeting of proteins to membranes. The eukaryotic SRP consists of a 300-nucleotide 7S RNA and six proteins: SRPs 72, 68, 54, 19, 14, and 9.
Source: RNAcentral